This 184-nucleotide unclassified non-coding RNA is filed under the name uncultured Schizoporaceae. Its description in RNAcentral is "sequence contains ITS2". Lineage: Eukaryota; Fungi; Basidiomycota; Agaricomycetes; Hymenochaetales; Schizoporaceae. The record is from RNAcentral.
AAUUAUCAACUCUCUUACUUUAUUGUGAGAUGAGCUUGGACUUGGGGAUUGCUGGUGUAAAUCAGCUUCUCUUGAAUGCAUUAGCUGGAAUUUAGUUCGCAGCAUAUAUGCGGUGUGAUAAUGUCGUCACUGUGUAGCUCGAAUUGUCUGGCUUCUAAUCGUCCUUCACGGGACAAUUUGAUCA